AAAAGAUGUUGCUUCUUCCGUCACUGCACUUGCAAAUGAAAAACUAAAGGCAGAGAAGGAAGCCAAUGCUGGUAAAAAGAAGACGGCUGUGAAGAAGAAGCAGCUCCAUGUUGAAAAGGCAGAUGAUGACUUGAUUGUCAAUACGUAUGAUGAUGUCGAUGAUUACGACUUCAUGUAAUUGUUCCAGUUCAGCUUAUCUAUUGCGAGUAUCAUCAGUUUGACCUGCGAAUGGAGAGAUGGUUGGAGUCGCCUUUGAGAAUGUACAAGAAUGCGUGGUCAUUUCAACUCAG
This 290-nucleotide unclassified non-coding RNA is filed under the name Hevea brasiliensis (rubber tree). Lineage: Eukaryota; Viridiplantae; Streptophyta; Magnoliopsida; Malpighiales; Euphorbiaceae. The record is from RNAcentral.